This is a long non-coding RNA of Hyaena hyaena (striped hyena), 1227 nucleotides long. RefSeq lists it as uncharacterized. The transcript has 2 exons. The record is from RefSeq and is a predicted model, not a curated record. NCBI's taxonomy places the organism in Eukaryota, Metazoa, Chordata, Mammalia, Carnivora, Hyaenidae.
GUCGGAGAGGGUCGAAACCUGCGGGCCGGGCGCGCUCAGUCCCCCAACUCUGGCUGGCACUCCUGGCGCCUCCGGCCCUCUGAGGAAGCCUGACUCGAACGGAGCUUGGGGUAAAGAUGAAACAGAGGAGAGGUGGCCUGAGGGGAGCAGAACAACUUUGAUUUUUAGUUACUUAACAUUCUCGUCUCCUUGCUCCCCUUCCCCAAAACAACUUUCUCUUCCGGGGUCAGGCAGGACCGCCCCCGAAGCGUACCUUGCGCGCCUGGGGCGCCCAGAGCUACGAAAUUCGGUGCGAUUUUGAGGUGCCCUGGCUGCCGACAGCCCCAGGAGAGAGCGGGCCGCCCCUCCGCCCCGCCCCGCGCCCGGGCCCCGGCCGUGCCCUCUGGUCCGCGGGCACCGCCUUCAGGCUGUGUAUCCUGGGCUCACAUCUUCAGCAAUCAUUGUUUUUAUACAGAGUACUAGGAAGUCCCUCUCCCCUUACCACCAAAAGCAGGGGGGUCCCUAGAUAUGGAUGCACCCCAUCAAGAGUCCAAACGCAAAAACAAAGUAGCUAAGAUUCCACCUGUGGCCUCUGCCGGACACCACUGUGCUCUCCCGCCCCGAGUCGCCAAAGCUAAAAUCAGGAGUCACGAAAUCCACUUUUUUGCAGAAGACUGAAAGCGGAGCAUGCUCAGUGGUGAAGGGAAAUUUUGGUUUGAAACUAGUUCAUGCUACACAGACCCCCAGUUCCACCUGUGCACAGGAUAGUUUCCCACGGCGUUAGCAGGAAGACACUUCAUCAUUUCAACUCCACGAGGAGGGCUUCUUUCUUCCCAGUGAGGAUAGAUCUGAGUACCACUUUGGUUUCUAGCCUAACAUUAUCACCACCUUAACUCUCUAAAUCCCUCAACUCCAUUGCCCUACCCACUCCACCCUCUCUUUUGUUUGUCCUGCUGUGAUUUCUACAUUCCCAGAAGGAAAGGAAGGCUACCUGGACUUUGAACCUUAGCCACUCUUCCUUCCUUUUCAUAUUCCAGAAACCCAUUUUGUGCCACCUGUGGCACAAAACUGGUUACUGACUGAGAGACUACGUCUGUGAUGGUAAGCAAGUCACUGUCUUUGGAAGUUUCCUAACUGCUUACAAAAGCAACAAAAGUAAAGAAGGCUCGGCUCCCUCAUCUUAAUCUUCUGUUGACUUCAGAGAUUACCACACUCGGUUAUUUUAAUAAACACCAAGUAUGUUUCGGA